Long non-coding RNA from Hippocampus comes (tiger tail seahorse), 195 nucleotides. RefSeq lists it as uncharacterized. The record is from RefSeq and is a predicted model, not a curated record. Lineage: Eukaryota; Metazoa; Chordata; Actinopteri; Syngnathiformes; Syngnathidae. The transcript is spliced from 2 exons.
CGCUCCCCUUCUGGAACUGCGGUCAAGCCAGCACGCACUCGCAAAGUCGAAGUCAAGUGAGCCCGCACUGCGAUUGGCAAUGCUCUGCAUUACGAACAUCCGAAAAGAAGGAAUCCAGCACCCCGGCUCUCCACCCAGACCACCCUCGUCCGGAUCAGAUGUUGCAUUUUGAAAUAAAAGGCCUCUGAAAACUGG